Molecule: ribosomal RNA, 487 nt
Filed under: uncultured bacterium
Lineage: Bacteria
Description: partial 16S ribosomal RNA
Rfam family: Bacterial small subunit ribosomal RNA
Source: RNAcentral
GAUGAACGCUAGCGAUAGGCUUAACACAUGCAAGUCGAGGGGCAGCACAAGGUAGCUUGCUAUCUGGGUGGCGACCGGCGCACGGGUGCGUAACGCGUAUGCAACUUGCCCUAUACAGGAGGAUAACCCGUCGAAAGACGGACUAAUACUGCGUAUGCUCACAACUUGGCAUCAAGUGGUGAGGAAAGAAAUUCGGUAUAGGAUAGGCAUGCGUCCCAUUAGCUUGUUGGUGAGGUAACGGCUCACCAAGGCAACGAUGGGUAGGGGAACUGAGAGGUUUAUCCCCCACACUGGAACUGAGACACGGACCAGACUCCUACGGGAGGCAGCAGUGAGGAAUAUUAGGCAAGGGGCGCGAGCCUGAACCAGCCAAGUCGCGUGAAGGAUGACUGUCGUAGGGAUGGUAAACUUCUGUUAGACAGGAAUAACAAGAGUCACGUGUGACGCCCUGCAGGUACCGUAUGAAUAAGCAUCGGCUAACUCCGUG